AGGUGGGACAGCUUUUGGCAGGCUUUUCCUGAGGCCUCGGCGCCUCCAUCCUGGACAGCACCACUUCCACGUGGAGCUGGAGUGAAGCAGGCUGCUAAUUGGCCUUAAACAUUCUUUUUUUUUUUUGAUGGAGUUUCUUGUUGCCCAGGAGAAUCGCUUGAACCAGGGAGGCGGAGGUUGCAGUGAGCCGAGAUAGCGCCAGCCUAGGAACCAAGAGCGAAACUCUGUCUCGAAAAAAAAAAAAAAAAUCCCUUUAACGCCUUGGA
RNAcentral lists this small RNA (266 nucleotides) under Pongo abelii (Sumatran orangutan). RNAcentral describes it as "processed transcript". The record is from RNAcentral. Lineage: Eukaryota; Metazoa; Chordata; Mammalia; Primates; Hominidae.